AACAAAGGUAGGGAGAUAAGAAAAAAUGAGAUAAAUGAAUUAGUAACAUUAAUUAAGAGGAGCAAUAACUACGCAGUGUUUCACGCAAAGAUCUUGCUCUGCUAAGCUCAGGUUGGUCUUCUUUUACUCCGCUCUUUUUCCAGACCAGACGUUUUAAGAUUUGUGAUAAAAUGCUGGUUUGGUCCCUCUUUUAACUGCACAAGCCCAAAAUGACUAACACAGGACAAGAACAUUUGCUGAGGGAUGGGCUUUCGUUUGCUCCACAUCGUUUCCGUCAAGAUCUACAGACAGUCCAAAUUCCCAGCUGAAUAAGCAGUAGAUCAUGAAUCACAAAAUUUAACUGCUGUGUAGUUUUCUGGUUAAGCAUGAAGAGUGAACGAAUAAUGACUUCAUCUCACAGUCUCUGACUAAUUUAUACGACAUUUUCAAAUAAUUGUUAAUUUUUAAUGUUUCACCGCCAACAUGAUCAGUGACUCAUUUUCUCCAGGUUACUACGCCGCAGGGUUCCUUGUUGGAGCAUGUGUUUGAUUUCAUGACAGAUUUUCGAUUUGUGUAAUCGUGGCUGUGCGCAGUUGCCAUUUCGCAUUUUAGUUUUUACAAACUUUAUUUGAAAACAAAUGGUGCACACAGGAAACCUGCAUAUAUAUCUGUGCGUGUGGAAAAUGAGCGUAUGAAUCACUGGUAUUCUGUAAUUGUCAUAAGACAAGAAUCUAGUACAUGUAUAACAAUUUAAUUAAAAAUAGUUAUUGAUUAUUAUUAACAUGUUACUUUGGUGUAUUCAGUUUGUUUUGAAGUAAUCGCGUGCAAAUGCCGGGUUGUUGGUUUUCUUUUAUAGGGUUUGACCUAACCCCUCAUUGAACCCCAAAAUAAGUAUAUGUUUUCAAGAACAAGUGAAUCAACUUUUUUCAAUUCCAACUUGUAAUGCCUGUGAUGGUUCAACUAUUUUGUUAUUAAGUGCAUUUCUGGUUAUCGGUAAAUAAAUAAAUAUUACUUGAACGCGUA
Molecule: long non-coding RNA, 1002 nt
Organism: Acanthaster planci (crown-of-thorns starfish)
Lineage: Eukaryota; Metazoa; Echinodermata; Asteroidea; Valvatida; Acanthasteridae
Source: RefSeq, a predicted model, not a curated record